RNAcentral lists this ribosomal RNA (266 nucleotides) under uncultured bacterium. Its description in RNAcentral is "partial 16S ribosomal RNA". It matches the Rfam family "Bacterial small subunit ribosomal RNA", at positions 88 to 354 of the family's 1533-position model. The record is from RNAcentral.
CAUUCGAAUGGCGGACGGGUGAGUAACGCGUGGGUAACCUGCCUUACACAGGGGGAUAACACCUGGAAACAGGUGCUAAUACCGCAUAAGCGCACAGGGCCGCAUGGCCCGGUGUGAAAAACUCCGGUGGUGUAAGAUGGACCCGCGUCUGAUUAGCUUGUUGGCGGGGUAGGGGCCCACCAAGGCGACGAUCAGUAGCCGGCCUGAGAGGGUGGACGGCCACAUUGGGACUGAGACACGGCCCAAACUCCUACGGGAGGCAGCAG